AUGAACGCUGGCGGCGUGCCUAAUACCUGCAAGUCGAGCGAACAGACGAGGAGCUUGCUCCUCUGACGUUAGCGGCGGACGGGUGAGUAACACGUGGAUAACCUACCUAUAAGACUGGGAUAACUUCGGGAAACCGGAGCUAAUACCGGAUAAUAUAUUGAACCGCAUGGUUCAAUAGUGAAAGACGGUUUUGCUGUCACUUAUAGAUGGAUCCGCGCCGCAUUAGCUAGUUGGUAAGGUAACGGCUUACCAAGGCAACGAUGCGUAGCCGACCUGAGAGGGUGAUCGGCCACACUGGAACUGAGACACGGUCCAGACUCCUACGGGAGGCAGCAGUAGGGAAUCUUCCGCAAUGGGCGAAAGCCUGACGGAGCAACGCCGCGUGAGUGAUGAAGGUCUUCGGAUCGUAAUACUCUGUUAUUAGGGAAGAACAAAUGUGUAAGUAACUAUGCACGUCUUGACGGUACCUAAUCAGAAAGCCACGGCUAACUACGUG
This 496-nucleotide ribosomal RNA is filed under the name uncultured bacterium. Its description in RNAcentral is "partial 16S ribosomal RNA". It matches the Rfam family "Bacterial small subunit ribosomal RNA", at positions 29 to 507 of the family's 1533-position model. The record is from RNAcentral.